This is a long non-coding RNA of Numida meleagris (helmeted guineafowl), 2743 nucleotides long. RefSeq lists it as uncharacterized. The record is from RefSeq and is a predicted model, not a curated record. Lineage: Eukaryota; Metazoa; Chordata; Aves; Galliformes; Numididae. The transcript has 2 exons.
AGCGAGGCGGGCGGAGGGGCUGCCCCGGGGUUCCGCCGCCUUCUGUUCCUCGCAGCGCGGGUCGGCUCCGCGGGGCUCCGCGCAGCGCCGUCCUACGCGGGAACUCCCCUGUUAUUUUCGGGGGGGGGGGGUGGUAGCUCAUCGGUGCGUUUAAAAAUGAUGUUAUUGGAAAAAAGAGGGUGGCUUGCUGUGCUUGUUUGGCUCUGACACGCCGGUCACCCGUGGAUAGUUAUUCUUUCCCAGCUGGAAACCUGUCACGUUCCCUGGCCAGCCGACACCGCUUACAAAGCGCUGUCAGAAUGGCAGGCAUCGCUUCUGCAGCUGCAAACGCCGUCAUUCGGUCGUACUUUUGUGACCUGAACGUUGCUGACACCUAAAAAAAACCCGCAGCCCCAUUGGCUUCCCCGAUCCGUGUCGCUGCUCGGCUGCGCCGGUGCUCGAGCCCCGCGCUGUCCUGCCCGAACUCGGCGUGUCCCCGCCGGUACCGUGCUCCGGCGGAGCGCACAAGUGCGGCUGGAGAAACGCACGCAGUAGUCAGAGUUCUUGUCAUUUUCGGUCUCGGAGAACCGGCGAGCGAGAAGCAGGCACUGGCUGCCCGGAGAAAUGGAUGCUUUUCCAAAGAGGUCUUAGCCCAGCUCUUCAUGUGAAGAAGACUAAUCGAGUUUUCACCAGGCUUCAUCUAAAAGCGAGGCAUCUCCCCAGUGACACGACAGGUUUUGUUUCAUUUAUCUUCCCGUUUCGCUUGUCUGCGAGCUCAGCACGCACCCAGAGGCAGAGGCAACUGUAAAACAGCAAAGGAAAUUGUAGAUGCGAUGGCUUUAAUAAGAGACAUUUACUUUGCAACCAAAUAUCUUUGUGCCGACAGUGAAACUGAGGUUUCAGCCAAGCUGUGGAGUCAGAUCAUGUAUGCUUUCAGUUUAUUAGCUCAUUUGGAGGCUGGCUGAAGAGAAACCAGAGAUGGACAUCUCUGCACAUGCUCACUCCAAGUGUAGGGUUUUUUAAGUUUGCUGUUCUGGCCGUUUCACAAUUUCAGGCUAACAAAAGUUCCAGGGCUAUAUAAUUUGUAUUAUUUACUAUUAUUUUGUAAGUAGAUAAUUUUGGAGUUACAUACACGAUGCGGUAAAUAAGAGAAUACAUUGAAGAUGACGUUUGAAAACUCUUGGGCAAUAAAAAAGAGAAAAAGUGGACUGUACUGUAAAUGAGAUUUAUUUUUGGGAAGGGCUUCCCUGGGGAAAGGAUGUAGCAUGGAUGCGUAUCCACGUUAACAGCACACCUGGUCUUUCUGCUGCUUGUGUCUGUGAAACGCUUCUGUUCUACCAGCAGCUCGGGAUGCGCAGUAAUAUGACUGGAGCUGAAUUUAUAUGGUUGAUGCCAUCUCGAGAUGGAGAGUGAAAAUCAAAAUACCUGUGUGAUCUCAAGUGCAGUAGAAUUGUUACAUGGGCUCUAGCAGCUGGUAUGUAGAAGCUAAACAAAUCCUUGCAGGGGUGUUAGUUUUAUACUGCGGUAACAUAAACCUCGGCGUGUGGCACUUCAUAAUUAUUAACUAGUCUAGAGGCAAGUUGUGGUGUAACGUGAGUGUUUGAACUUAACAUCUGUGAGCAUAUGUAAAAUACCCACAUUUUGUCUGCAUACGGGAUACAAGUGAGCUGCCAGGAAUCCAGCUCAAGUGAAUGGAAGGUGCACUUCUUGCUUUCUGAUGGUCUCCUCAGCUGGCCGGUGACUCUCGUUGUGGGGAUAACUGCUCAGAGAGGCACAGUGCUUCCUUCCAGUUCCCCCUUUCUCUUCCAAUUCCUCUCCCAUGUCCUUAUCACAACCAGCAUGUGCAGCAGGCUGAACAGUUGGACUGGAUGCGGCCAAGCGUCCAGCAGGGGAUGCAGGAGAGAGCCGGCGCUGUUCCUGGCACCGCUUCCCGUGCAAAUUGUCUGACAACCAGCAGCCAGACACUGGUGGAAGUAUCUACACAACACUGCUGCGAUGUGAAGUGCUCGUACAGUACUUUGCACAGCAGGAUCCUGAUUCAUGCAUGUGGCUUCUACAGCUAUGAUAAUACACUUGGAUAAUAGUAACAAUGGCUUGUAUCACUACUCCGUUUUAUCCAUGAGAAAGAAAAACUUACAGAUUAAAGCCAAAACCAUCAGAAGUAUCAGCUAGCCUUGAGUGCACAGCCUAACACCUGAUUUUUUCCAGCCAUAUGGAGUAUGUGACAUCGGGGCUCAGCAGAUGACAGCCUCCUCCUGCAGAGUUGCAUCGCGCCUUCUUUCUGGGCUGCCCCAAACUUUUGUCCCAGUGUGACAUUCAGCGUCAGCCUCCACUCCCGACCCUUUUGCACUCGCUUGCUGCUGCCUCUCACUUUGUUCUGCAUGCCAGCGUCAUGACCCGUGCUGAGAGCGCGGCCGUGCUCACUGCUCUGGAGCUGGGAGCUGCCAGCGGGAUGCGUGCAGCCUGCUGCAGGCACUGCUCCAGCCACUCUGCACCCGCUGCCGGGGGGGUCCUUGCAAAACCUGGUGCCAGAACCUCACGGUUUUCUGCUUUUUUGAAGGUGUGCAAAAUGUCUGCUGCUAGGGACUCAGAAUGUGACCGAAUCUGGACGUGGUUUCAUGGUGCUGAAUGCACGCUAGUGAAACCCGGGUAAACAACAACAAAAAAAAAAGAAAAGAAAUUGCACCAAAGCAUGGAAAUUAUAGAUCUGGAAUGAAUGCAAGUUGGAAAGAGUAUAUAGGCAUUAAAAAGGCUUGCAAAUGAU